GAGGCAGCAGUGAGGAAUAUUGGUCAAUGGACGAGAGUCUGAACCAGCCAAGUAGCGUGAAGGAUGACUGCCUAUGGGUUGUAAACUUCUUUUAUACGGGAAUAAGUGAGGCACGUGUGCCUUUUUGUAUGUACCGUAUGAAUAAGGAUCGGCUAACUCCGUGCCAGCAGCCGCGGUAAUACGGAGGAUCCGAGCGUUAUCCGGAUUUAUUGGGUUUAAAGGGAGCGUAGGCGGACGCUUAAGUCAGUUGUGAAAGUUUGCGGCUCAACCGUAAAAUUGCAGUUGAUACUGGGUGUCUUGAGUA
This 304-nucleotide ribosomal RNA is filed under the name uncultured bacterium. RNAcentral's name for it is "bacterial SSU rRNA". It matches the Rfam family "Bacterial small subunit ribosomal RNA", at positions 345 to 648 of the family's 1533-position model. The record is from RNAcentral.